RNAcentral lists this unclassified non-coding RNA (242 nucleotides) under uncultured fungus. RNAcentral's name for it is "partial contains 18S rRNA, ITS1, 5.8S rRNA, ITS2 and 28S rRNA". Lineage: Eukaryota; Fungi. The record is from RNAcentral.
AAGGAUCAUUACUGAAUUGUCAACACGAGUUGUUGCUGGUCCUCAAAUGGGGGCAUGUGCACACUCUGUUUACACAUCCACUCACACCUGUGCACCCUCUGUAGUUCUAUGGCCUGAGGGAUGAUGUCCACUUGCCAUGGUUCUAUAUCUUUACACACACACACCGUGAUAAAGUCUUAUGGAAUGUAUGCCGCGUUUAACGCAAUACAAUACAACUUUCAGCAACGGAUCUCUUGGCUCUC